RNAcentral lists this unclassified non-coding RNA (182 nucleotides) under plant metagenome. RNAcentral describes it as "partial contains small subunit ribosomal RNA, internal transcribed spacer 1, and 5.8S ribosomal RNA". The record is from RNAcentral.
UUUCCGUAGGUGAACCUGCGGAAGGAUCAUUAUUGAAUCAAGUCUCUCACGAGGCUCAAUAUUCCACGUACCUCUGUGAACUGUCGUCGUGCCUCCGGGCCGAUAUCAAUACAAACAUGGUGUAACGAACGUGAAAACAUUUUAACAAAAUAAAACUUUCAACAACGGAUCUCUUGGCUCUC